GAUAUCGGGUACCAUUGCUAGAUGAUUAUUUCGAUUGGUACAGUAAUCAGUUCCUAUGCUACUGGUUUAAGUUCGAAUCUAUGAGGUUAUACACAUUAGAAGUUUCUCUCCGAUCAUGUGGCUAAUCUGAAGAGUCAUAGUGGACGAAAACUCUGGUGAAGAGUCUCACUGGAUGGGGACUCUACUGAAGAGUCCUAUUGGAUGG
This 205-nucleotide long non-coding RNA is filed under the name Elaeis guineensis (African oil palm). Its description in RNAcentral is "long non-coding RNA (EGUI_LNC035433)". Lineage: Eukaryota; Viridiplantae; Streptophyta; Magnoliopsida; Arecales; Arecaceae. The record is from RNAcentral.